UGCUGUGGGCAAAUUGAGUGGGAUACCUGGUAACGCUUCAUGUCCUUCACACGGUCCAGAGACACGGAGCAGUCGGUCCAGAACAGCGUCCAGUCUUCACCCUCCAUCGCCUCCCUGAGUCCGUAUCUACGAGCAGCUCGCCGCACUGAGACAAAUCACACAUUCAUUAGCUUUUAGGUGAUCCAGAUGUUUCCUGAGAGCAGCCGGGCUUCCCACCAAACGCUGAGCCUGCUGCAGAGAUUUGCUCCCAUUCAGCUACAAGGUCCAACGCUGGUGUUAGGUGAUAAGAUCUGGAUCAUAGCGGGUGUUUAAAUUGAUCCCAGAGGCUCUGUGCAGGCAGCUCAAGUUCUUCUACACCAAACUGGGAAAACAGUUGUGUACGGAAGAGAUGAUGAUGUAGAAAGAGUAAAAUUAUCAUGAAAACAAACUGUUACUGCCACAAAGCUGGAAGACACUAUUGUCUAAUAUAUCAUUGAUUUCCCUUUAAAGAGUAUGAAGGGACCAAUAUAAUUAAAGAACGAGUGUAAACAGACAAUCCUAAGUGCUUCAGUAGAAAGGACCUGGACUUCUGUUUUUGGUUCUUGAAGACAUUUUGCUUCAAAUCAUCAAUUUUUUAGAAAAAUUGUUUCUGCUUGACCAUUUCUGAUUUGCAUUAAAUUUUCAGAGCAUUAAAUAUGCAUUUUUAUAAAGAUAAUUGUGACAUUUUAGCUUUAUAUAUCAAAUACUUCCUGAGGUGUUUUUUUUUAUUUGUUCUUUUAGCACAUUUUUUCCACACACUGAAGUUUCAAGCUGGUUGAACAACAAAUUUCACUGUUAUUUCUCAUCAUGUUAUUGAUUCAGAAUCUGUAAUAUUGGACGUGUAAAUCAGAUAAUCUCUAAUUGUGGGUGAGUUAAAAUAUGAAAACAAAAGUCUCAUCUAAGAGCUCAUAUUAACAAAGGUUAUUUAGAUUUAACUUUCUUAACUUAUCCAAUGAGAGCAGAGUUCUGGAGGUUCAAAAUGUUUCUCCAAACAUAACUUAUUUUCCAUUUUUGGAUCCCAAAAAAGUCAAUCUAAAAUUCCACAGAGAAGCUUUUAAAUAUCCAUAGUCUGAACCAAUCAGAGCUGGUUGAGCAGAAAGGCCUUGAUGAUCUGAGAUGGAAUCACUCAGCUGCGUCUUCAGGUCUAACUUGUUCACCUCCAGAGAGUCGGCAUGUUGUCGAUUUUUGUUUUACCUCACGAUCGACAGUCCACCACUCUGACACCAGUGGUUCCAGCGUCUGUGCUACGGUUUCUGUCACUCUUUUACUACCUCUUCUCCAGAGGAUUCAGGUGGAAGGGAUGAGGUAUAUUUUGGUCGCUCCAAUUUGGCCCUCAGAUAUUUAUUUUCAUCCCCAAAUCACACGACUCGUGGCCCAUUAGCAACUUGUAUGCCUCAAGAUUUGAAAGGUUGCAACACUGUCUAGAGAAUCGUCUCAGGACUGCAUUAUAAGCACCUGACAGGAUGUCCGAACACUUUUAGUCAGGUUAUAUAUUGUUAUUUCUAUACAAGUUUCUUAUUUGUGUACCCAUGUCUUAUUUUCUUUCUCAGCUAUGAAGCCUCUAUACUUCACUGUAUGUAGAGUUAUAAUAAAGAUGAAAUAAAUAUUGCA
This is a long non-coding RNA of Amphiprion ocellaris (clown anemonefish), 1629 nucleotides long. RefSeq lists it as uncharacterized. NCBI's taxonomy places the organism in Eukaryota, Metazoa, Chordata, Actinopteri, Pomacentridae. The record is from RefSeq and is a predicted model, not a curated record. The transcript has 2 exons.